GGGGAAUAUUGCACAAUGGGGGAAACCCUGAUGCAGCAACGCCGCGUGAAUGAUGAAGGCCUUCGGGUCGUAAAGUUCUUUGAUUGGGGACGAUAAUGACGGUACCCAAAAAACAAGCCACGGCUAACUACGUGCCAGCAGCCGCGGUAAUACGUAGGUGGCGAGCGUUGUCCGGAUUUACUGGGCGUAAAGGAUGCGUAGGUGGAAACUUAAGUGGGAUGUGAAAUCCCCGGGCUCAACCCGGGAACUGCAUUCCAAACUGGGUUACUUGAGUGCAGGAGAGGAAAGCGGAAUUCCUAGUGUAGCGGUGAAAUGCGUAGAUAUUAGGAAGAACACCAGUGGCGAAGGCGGCUUUCUGGACUGUAACUGACACUGAGGCAUGAAAGCGUGGGGAGCAAAC
This 400-nucleotide ribosomal RNA is filed under the name uncultured bacterium. Its description in RNAcentral is "bacterial SSU rRNA". It matches the Rfam family "Bacterial small subunit ribosomal RNA", at positions 356 to 773 of the family's 1533-position model. The record is from RNAcentral.